AAACUCUUACGGAUGAGUCAGAGAUCUUGGGUUCUCUUUCCAGGCGUGCCCUAACCUAAGCGUGGGCUUCAGUUUACAACUUGCUUGAGGUUCCCUCUACCUCUAUAAUUAAUUUCUUUAUAAGUGAUUAUAUCACAAAAGAAAUUAUACAUAUAAAGUUCUCAUGAAGCUUUAAACGUAAAGUUUAAGAACACAAUAAUUCUGCCCCUUGAAAAUUAUUCAAAACAUUAAUUUGUUUUUCAUGGUGCCCCACCCCAGCUCAAAAAAAUACCUAUGGUGGUUUCUAUUAUUAAUUAAACCCCCAAAACGUCUAUCUAUAUUCAAAUACUUUAGUAGCCAUUUGAAAAAAGUAACACACAUAAAUUUGAAAUAAAAUUUUUAUUGUAUUCUUAAAUAACAACUACUUCUUAAUGAGAUAUGUGUGCCUGCUAGACACUCUAAAAUUAAUCUAACCUCAGAUUCGGAUCAGACAAUGAUGCUCAUUUCUUGUUCUACAAUGACUUUUACACGUAGCACUUGCUUUGUACCACAGUAACUGUCCAAAGUCCAGCAUCCCAAACACUAUAAUGGAGUGUUUCUAGUUUUCUUACUACUUUUUUCCCCUUCAAUCUCCAAAUCUGCAAGUGUUUCCUGGAUAACUUUAAGCAAUACUUUUAAUAUCUAAAACCAAUCACUGGAAUAACAUUUCCAGGAAUCCUCAAGGCAGCAGGUUUGGAGAUUUAAAAAGAAAGAAGUAGCUUCAAUUUCAACUCCUAAGAAAAAUACUGUUUCUUACUGAUGAAGAAUCAAAGACAUGGGGAGAUCAAUGAAAAAUCAAUAGGAAUCUCAGAUUAACCAAUGCAAUAACCACAUAUUUCUUUCUUCUAUUAUUCUGGGGCAAAAUCUAGGUAAAGAACUGUCUCAGGCUUCACAUGAAAGAUUUUCACGUUGGUCACAUGUCCCUACCAAAAAAAAUGUUAGGUUAACUUGCUGUCCUUAGAAUUAACUUUUUUUGCACUGCUAAACAUAAUUUAAAUUUAAGCAUGACUUGCAGAAAUAGACUUAUACAGUAAAUCUACUUAUUUUAUAGUCAAAUAAUUUAGAGUUCUAAAUUAAUCAAAGCUCUUUUACAUAGAAAAUGGUUCUACUUUUAAAACUUUACUAUUGAAUUAUACAUCAAUUAUUGUCUGUUUAUACAAUAAACUGCUGAGGUAGAAAGAAGUCAGGCUGGAAGCCCAAACUUCUAUGUAUAAAAUGCACCAAGAUCUCUUACUGAUCCUGAACUACACUUGCAGGUAGAGCAGAAACCAGGACUUUAGCUUCUGCCUACCAGAGGGGACAGAGCUAGGAGUUAGUUCAGCCAAGCUAAUUGCCUGACCAAACAAAAGUUAGCUCACUUUAGGGGAAUAUAACAGAAUCCAGAGUCAGAGGUCGGCAGACUUUUUCUUCAAUGGCCAGACAGUACAUAUUUUAGGCUUUGCUGGCUACGAAGCAAUAUUAGGAAUAUUAUGUAGGGAAUUAUGUAACCAUCUGAAAUGUAACCAUUUAAAAAUAUAAAUAACAUUCUUAGUUUAUGGGCUCAGUGGGCCAGAUUUGGUUCAUAGGCUGUACUUAGCCAGCUUCUCCUCCACAGCAAAUCAUUCAUAAUGUCCAGUCUAUAACCCAAAACUGUCAGACAUAUAAACAAUAUUUUUUUAAAAAGAAGAAAAUAUGAACCAUAUUUAAAAGAAAAGCAGUCAGUAGCAAUAACCACAAGAUUGCCCACAUGUUGGAAUUAGCAGGAAAGGAUUUAAAAGCAUCCACUCUAAAUGUUGGAAGAUAUCAAUGAAAAUAUGCUUCUAGUAGACAUGAAAUCUCAAGA
This 1840-nucleotide long non-coding RNA is filed under the name Pan troglodytes (chimpanzee). RNAcentral's name for it is "long non-coding RNA NONPTRT012455". Lineage: Eukaryota; Metazoa; Chordata; Mammalia; Primates; Hominidae. The record is from RNAcentral.